Molecule: long non-coding RNA, 429 nt
Filed under: Nicotiana benthamiana
Lineage: Eukaryota; Viridiplantae; Streptophyta; Magnoliopsida; Solanales; Solanaceae
Description: long non-coding RNA (NBEN_LNC020888)
Source: RNAcentral
AAAAGUUUAUGAAUUUGAAUCCAAUUGAGAAUUGGAUUCAAAGAAGGAAAAUUUUUGGAUUUUCUCACGUUAAAACAAAGAAGGAAAAUUUGGAAUUUUCAUACAAAAUUUUUCCAUAAGUUUAUUUUUGGAAUAAACUUUUACCUUAGGAAAAUUAUUACCUCAACCAAAUAGGAAAACGUUUUGUAGGUGGUGCUAUAUAAAGGGUGAUGGAGAAAAUUAGGAAAAUUAUUACCUCAACCAAAUAGGAAAAUGGUUUGUGGGUGAUGCUAUAUAAAAGGUGAUGGAGAAAAUUUAAAAAGUUCUUUUUUUCCGAUUUUAAUCUUUUUCUUGAGAAGAAAACUCUACUUUGUGAAAGUGAGAGUGCGAGAAAAAAAAUACAAUUGCAAGAAAAGUGUUUCUUGUUCUUCUAAUUUGAGUUGAGAUUUU